This 191-nucleotide unclassified non-coding RNA is filed under the name uncultured Cortinarius. RNAcentral describes it as "sequence contains ITS2". The record is from RNAcentral. Lineage: Eukaryota; Fungi; Basidiomycota; Agaricomycetes; Agaricales; Cortinariaceae.
AUAUAUAUAUCAACCUCCUCUUUUUGAGGUGUUUGGAUGUGGGGGGUUGUUUGCUGGACUCUUAAAGGGUUCGGCUCCCCUGAAAUGCAUUAGCAGAACAACCUGUUCAUUUGGUGUGAUAACUAUCUACGCUAAUUGAAUGUGAAGGGCGGUUCAGCUUUCUAACUGUCCUUGGACAAAUUUCAUCAUUA